UGGGGAAUAUUGCACAAUGGGGGAAACCCUGAAGCAGCGACGCCGCGUGAGCGAAGAAGGUUUUCGAAUCGUAAAGCUCUGUCCUAUGAGAAGAUAAUGACGGUAUCAUAGGAGGAAGCCCCGGCUAAAUACGUGCCAGCAGCCGCGGUAAUACGUAUGGGGCGAGCGUUGUCCGGAAUUAUUGGGCGUAAAGGGUACGUAGGCGGUCUAUUAAGUCAGGUGUGAAAGCGUGAGGCUUAACCUCAUUAAGCACUUGAAACUGAUAGACUUGAGUGAAGGAGAGGAAAGUGGAAUUCCUAGUGUAGCGGUGAAAUGCGUAGAUAUUAGGAGGAAUACCGGUGGCGAAGGCGACUUUCUGGACUUUUACUGACGCUCAGGUACGAAAGCGUGGGGAGCAAACAGG
RNAcentral lists this ribosomal RNA (403 nucleotides) under Verrucomicrobiota bacterium. Its description in RNAcentral is "Verrucomicrobia bacterium partial 16S ribosomal RNA". It matches the Rfam family "Bacterial small subunit ribosomal RNA", at positions 355 to 776 of the family's 1533-position model. The record is from RNAcentral. Lineage: Bacteria; Pseudomonadati; Verrucomicrobiota.